Megalops atlanticus (tarpon) is the source of this 79-nucleotide non-coding RNA. Lineage: Eukaryota; Metazoa; Chordata; Actinopteri; Elopiformes; Megalopidae. The record is from the annotation of a GenBank genome assembly.
AGCAGUGUAGCAUAGUGGUAAGGUGCAGGGCUUGUAACCUAAAGGUUGCUGGUUCGAGUCCUGUGCUGGGGCACUGCUG